Molecule: ribosomal RNA, 506 nt
Filed under: uncultured bacterium
Lineage: Bacteria
Description: partial 16S ribosomal RNA
Rfam family: Bacterial small subunit ribosomal RNA
Source: RNAcentral
AGUGAACGCUGGCGGUAGGCCUAACACAUGCAAGUCGAACGGCAGCACAGGAGAGCUUGCUCUCUGGGUGGCGAGUGGCGGACGGGUGAGGAAUACAUCGGAAUCUACUUUUUCGUGGGGGAUAACGUAGGGAAACUUACGCUAAUACCGCAUACGACCUACGGGUGAAAGCAGGGGACCUUCGGUCCUUGCGCGAUUGAAUGAGCCGAUGUCGGAUUAGCUCGUUGGCGGGGUAAAGGCCCACCAAGGCGACGAUCCGUAGCUGGUCUGAGAGGAUGAUCAGCCAAACUGGAACUGAGACACGGUCCAGACUCCUACGGGAGGCAGCAGUGGGGAAUAUUGGACAAUGGGCGCAAGCCUGAUCCAGCCAUACCGCGUGGGUGAAGAAGGCCUUCGGGUUGUAAAGCCCUUUUGUUGGGAAAGAAAUCCAGCUGGCUAAUACCCGGUUGGGAUGACGGUACCCAAAGAAUAAGCACCGGCUAACUUCGUGCCAGCCGCCGCGGUAA